Molecule: ribosomal RNA, 413 nt
Filed under: uncultured bacterium
Lineage: Bacteria
Description: bacterial SSU rRNA
Rfam family: Bacterial small subunit ribosomal RNA
Source: RNAcentral
AGCGAACGCUAGCGGCGGGCUUAACACAUGCAAGUCGAGCGCGUGGCUUCGGCCACGAGCGGCGAACGGGUGAGUAACACGUAGGUCAUCUGCCCUUUGGUGGGGAAUAACCCGAGGAAACUCGGGCUAAUACCGCAUACUGCCCUUCGGGUCAAAGGCUUCGGCCGCCAGAGGAUGAGCCUGCGUCGCAUUACCUAGUUGGUGGGGUAAUGGCCCACCAAGGGGACGAUGCGUAGCUGGUCUGAGAGGAUGAUCAGCCACACUGGGACUGAGACACGGCCCAGACUCCUACGGGAGGCAGCAGUGGGGAAUAUUGCGCAAUGGGGGAAACCCUGACGCAGCCACGCCGCGUGGGUGAUGAAGGCCUCGGGUUGUAAAGCCGUGUCGGGGGGACGGAAGUACUGACGGUACCC